Antechinus flavipes (yellow-footed antechinus) is the source of this 2143-nucleotide long non-coding RNA. RefSeq lists it as uncharacterized. Lineage: Eukaryota; Metazoa; Chordata; Mammalia; Dasyuromorphia; Dasyuridae. The transcript has 3 exons. The record is from RefSeq and is a predicted model, not a curated record.
AGGAAAAGCAGCAGAAUGAACACCGGAGACUACAUUUUAAAACAUCGGAGAAGUAACCUACUCGCGUUUAAAAAUCAUUCCUUUUGGACAAUGAAGGAAGACCUGAAAUUUAGGGAGAGGCAAGAGAUGAACAAUGUACUUGGGGAUAGGAUGUGAAAGCUCCACAACAAGAUAAAAACAAGAAAUAGAGAAGAUGGGAAAGUGGUCCAUUCCCUGUGCUGUAGCUACUAUUGUUAUUGUGGCCACUGAAGUGACCUUGAACUUGAAGGAAAGAAAAUGCUGAGAUGAAAAGGUUAUUUAUACCUUCUGAAUCAAAUUCUCCUUGUGCAACAAGAGAACUGUUCUAUUCUACACACAUAUAUUGUAUCUAGGAUAUACUGUAACUUAUUUAACAUGUAUAGGAAUGCUUGCCAUCUGGGGGAGGGGGAAGAGGGAAGGAGGGGAAAAAUCAGAACAGAAGUGAGUGCAAGGAAUAAUGUUGUAAAAAAUUACCCUGGCAUGGGUUCUGUCAAUAAAAAGUUAUUUUAAAAAAAUAUCAUAUAACCAAUUCAUUGUUCUACUUUUUCUUUGUUUUAUUGAGGUAAACUUUUAGAGAAAAAUGUUCUCUGAUCACUGCUUUUGCUAUAUCCCAUAGGUUUUAAUAUAUUGUCUCAUUAUUGUCAUUCUCUUUAAUGGAAUUAUUGAUUGUUUCUAUGAUUUGUUCUUUGGUCCAUGCUCUAAGAUUAGAUUAAGAUUAUCUUUGGUUACAAAGUCCAUAGUCGACAUGAUUGACCUGACAUAUCCAGUAGAAUUUUUGCUGAGUACCAAUACUUUCCCCCCAGCAAAUAAGCUUGUGAAGUCCUAUCUAUUUCUAUGAUUAUAUUUUUGGACACACCUAAAGACAAAACUACAGAUCUAAAUAUUUAUCCCAGGUCUAAAUAUUUUAAAGAAUUUGCUAUAUAUUACAUAAGAAAAAAAAAUCCAGUAAAAUCAUAAGGGGAAAAUAUAAAGCAAUUGGUUCAGUGUUCUAUAGUUAUUGUUAUAUUAACACAAUGGAAUAUACUCCAAAAGGACUCAAUGACAGAAAUAAAAAUCCCUUAUAAUAAUAAUGAAGUCAUAGCAAUAGUCUUUACAGAUUAUAAACAAAGGGGUACAUAUUGACUGAAAAAGGAUAGAAAAAUAGAAUGUAUCAAUAUAGUGAAAUACAGUAUAAAAACAAGUAAAAUACAAGAAAUUAAGAGGAAUAGAUUUAUAUUAAUUGAUAGUGAAAGUAGAAAAUUAAGAAAAGAAUGUAUAUAAUCACUACUCAGGAGUCCUCAAACUUUUUAAAUAGGGGGCCAGUUCACUGUCCCUCAGACUGUUGGAGGACCGGACUAUAGUAAAAACAAAAACUUUGUUUUGUGGGCCUUUAAAUAAAGAAACUUCAUAGCCCUGGGUGAGGGGGAUAAACAUCCUCAGCUGUGGCAUCUGGCCGGCAGGCCGUAGUUUGAGGACGCCUGAGUUGUCAUAAUGUAAAUUUUAAAAGAUUACUAGAAGGAAUUUUAUCUUUCAGUAAUUAAAAAAUCAGUGAAGAUUGUGAACAACAACAAAAAUUGUGCUUCUGUCCCCAUUGCAAAGUGUAUUUUGACUGACAUUAGACUGACUUGGACAAAAUAUUGAAUGUCUUGCCAAAUGUCUUUACUUUAUUAGAUGUUUUUGUGUUAUUAUUUCUCUAUGAUAUGGAGAUAUUCACUUGGAAGUUGGAGGACUGAAUAACUUAUGUAAAGACAAAAAGCGUCAAUAAAAAGUUACAUUUAAAAAUUUUGCGUAUAGUGGCAGGUUUUCUCAAUAAAUGUGAGAAUAAAUCAAGGAUGCUUCCUUUCCCCAAUAUUAUUCCAUAUAAUUCUAGAAAUGCUAGCAAAUAAGACUAGAGGAAGAAAUUAAAGUCAUAAAAAUAGGCAUAGAAAUGAAUAUAUCUUUAUCUACUUAUGACAUGAUGAUUUACGUAGAAAAUAGCAAAGUAAUAACUUGAGACAUUUCUAGUUUCAAAAAAGUUGUAGGCUACAAAAUAAGGCCACAAAAUCAAAAUUAGUAAUAUUUCUUUAUAAUAUUAAAAUCUAAGCAGUAAGAGAAUGAGAGAAAAAGAAGUCCCACUGAAAGUACGUUAUACACACACACACACACA